RNAcentral lists this ribosomal RNA (318 nucleotides) under Triticum aestivum (bread wheat). RNAcentral describes it as "partial small subunit ribosomal RNA". The record is from RNAcentral. Lineage: Eukaryota; Viridiplantae; Streptophyta; Magnoliopsida; Poales; Poaceae.
AUGCCACAUGGGCUGGCCGUGAGGGGUGGUGUGCCUUUUCAUUUGUCUGUUAUUUGGGCUUUCUUCCAGGCUGAAUUUUCUGUUAGUACUCGUGUUGCAUGGGGACAGGAAAUAGGGCUGUUCGCUUUGGUUUGUUCCCAUUUUCUUUUUAUUUUUUUCUUUAUUUUCUAUUUUCUAUUGCUAUUAUUAUUUAAUAAAAUAUUGUCACAUGUGUACACAUACAUCGAUCGCACACAAUUGCAUGUACAUUUAAUCACAUGUAAUUACAUGUUUUUUUGUCUGUGUCCGUAUGCAACUUUUUUUCUUUCCAACCGUUGA